RNAcentral lists this ribosomal RNA (1157 nucleotides) under Escherichia coli. Its description in RNAcentral is "partial 23S ribosomal RNA". It matches the Rfam family "Bacterial large subunit ribosomal RNA", at positions 1 to 1191 of the family's 2925-position model. The record is from RNAcentral. Lineage: Bacteria; Pseudomonadati; Pseudomonadota; Gammaproteobacteria; Enterobacterales; Enterobacteriaceae.
GGGUUGUGAGGUUAAGCGACUAAGCGUACACGGUGGAUGCCCUGGCAGUCAGAGGCGAUGAAGGACGUGCUAAUCUGCGAUAAGCGUCGGUAAGGUGAUAUGAACCGUUAUAACCGGCGAUUUCCGAAUGGGGAAACCCAGUGUGUUUCGACACACUAUCAUUAACUGAAUCCAUAGGUUAAUGAGGCGAACCGGGGGAACUGAAACAUCUAAGUACCCCGAGGAAAAGAAAUCAACCGAGAUUCCCCCAGUAGCGGCGAGCGAACGGGGAGCAGCCCAGAGCCUGAAUCAGUGUGUGUGUUAGUGGAAGCGUCUGGAAAGGCGCGCGAUACAGGGUGACAGCCCCGUACACAAAAAUGCACAUGCUGUGAGCUCGAUGAGUAGGGCGGGACACGUGGUAUCCUGUCUGAAUAUGGGGGGACCAUCCUCCAAGGCUAAAUACUCCUGACUGACCGAUAGUGAACCAGUACCGUGAGGGAAAGGCGAAAAGAACCCCGGCGAGGGGAGUGAAAAAGAACCUGAAACCGUGUACGUACAAGCAGUGGGAGCCUCUUUAUGGGGUGACUGCGUACCUUUUGUAUAAUGGGUCAGCGACUUAUAUUCUGUAGCAAGGUUAACCGAAUAGGGGAGCCGAAGGGAAACCGAGUCUUAACUGGGCGUUAAGUUGCAGGGUAUAGACCCGAAACCCGGUGAUCUAGCCAUGGGCAGGUUGAAGGUUGGGUAACACUAACUGGAGGACCGAACCGACUAAUGUUGAAAAAUUAGCGGAUGACUUGUGGCUGGGGGUGAAAGGCCAAUCAAACCGGGAGAUAGCUGGUUCUCCCCGAAAGCUAUUUAGGUAGCGCCUCGUGAAUUCAUCUCCGGGGGUAGAGCACUGUUUCGGCAAGGGGGUCAUCCCGACUUACCAACCCGAUGCAAACUGCGAAUACCGGAGAAUGUUAUCACGGGAGACACACGGCGGGUGCUAACGUCCGUCGUGAAGAGGGAAACAACCCAGACCGCCAGCUAAGGUCCCAAAGUCAUGGUUAAGUGGGAAACGAUGUGGGAAGGCCCAGACAGCCAGGAUGUUGGCUUAGAAGCAGCCAUCAUUUAAAGAAAGCGUAAUAGCUCACUGGUCGAGUCGGCCUGCGCGGAAGAUGUAACGGGGCUAAACCAUG